RNAcentral lists this transfer RNA (72 nucleotides) under Chitinophagaceae bacterium. RNAcentral describes it as "tRNA-Met". It matches the Rfam family "tRNA". From Rfam's summary of the family: Transfer RNA (tRNA) molecules are approximately 80 nucleotides in length. Their secondary structure includes four short double-helical elements and three loops (D, anti-codon, and T loops). Lineage: Bacteria; Pseudomonadati; Bacteroidota; Chitinophagia; Chitinophagales; Chitinophagaceae. The record is from RNAcentral.
UGCGGUUUGGUGUAACGGUAACACACUGCUCUCAUAAGGCAGAACAUUUCAGUUCGAAUCUGAAAGCCGCAA